RNAcentral lists this ribosomal RNA (120 nucleotides) under uncultured bacterium. RNAcentral's name for it is "partial 16S ribosomal RNA". It matches the Rfam family "Bacterial small subunit ribosomal RNA", at positions 32 to 147 of the family's 1533-position model. The record is from RNAcentral.
AAUCAACGCUGGCGGCGUGCCUAACACAUGCAAGUCGAACGCGAAAGGGGCUUCGGCCCUGAGUAGAGUGGCAAACGGGUGAGUAACACGUGGGUGACCUGCCUUCGAGUGGGGGAUAAC